CUAACCCUAAUCCCCAUUUCUCCCCUUCUCUCCCCCGAUCCAAUCUCCCGGCGAGCGAGCGAGUGGAAUCGGCGGCGAUCAUGGCGGCGACGGCGUUCCGGCGAGGUGGAGCACGCGUGCGACGACAAGCGCCGAGCGGCUUCCAUUUGCCGUGGCUGGGGGCGCAGCCGAGAAGGGCGCCAAGCCGUGCCAUGGCGUUGGCGGUCCGGCGAGGCGGCGGAGCCCGAAGGUAGCUGCCAAGCCGGCGCUUAUCGUCCCCGGCGAGGGACGGUGAGGAGGGGACUCCAAGGCGGCGCGCGCAUGGACGUCAACCAGCGCGACCGUGAUGGAGAGGCGGCGAGGGCACGCCGAGGCACACGUGGGCGAAGGAGUUGCCCGUGCGGCGACGACGACGAUGCCUUCUUCCCGGCGAAGCCCGUACGGCGGCGCUAAUGUCGUGCGGCAUCUCCGGUGGCUUAGGGCUUCAACGAUCCGAAGGUCCUGCAUUACUGCAAACGGAUCCUCAUCAGGGGAAAGCAGUACAAUGGAGCGUCGUUGACUGAUCACCAACCCCAGCAAACACUAGAUGCAGCAUACAAAUGGCUUAGCUGAGCACAAGAAGUUAUAGGCUGAUGGUAGAAGCUAGGAAGGAAUCUGAAGGAGCUCUGGUUCCUGGCUUGAUUGAUCUUGCUGCUGCUUCUCCGAUCCUCCGGCCUCUGCUAUGUUCCUCGACUCCUGCUCCGGUUGCUAUCUCACACAUCUCUCUCAAUUUCUACUGAUAUAUUUUUUCAGUCCUUUAUUUCCAGACCACCAAAGAACAAACUAAAGCUCAGAUCGAUCGGUAGCCAUGGAUGCCGUGGUGAGUGUCUCACAUGGGGCACUGGGGCCGCUACUGGGCAAGCUCAGUACCUUGCUCGCAGACAAGUACGCGUGCUUGAAAGGUGUCCGCCGUGAGAUCCAUUCCCUAAGAUCGGAGCUGAGCAACAUGCAAGCGGCGCUCCACAAGUAUGCGUCACUCGAGGACCCUGACAUCCAGGUGAAGGCCUGGAUCACCGAGCUGAGGGAGCUUGCCUAUGACAUCGAGGACUGCAUAGACAAGUUUAUGCACCAACUUGGUGCCAACGGUGAGCAGCACCGCACCAGUAAUAGCAUCGAGGACUUCUUUAGGAAGAGUAUACAACGUCUCAAAACUCUUGGCCCGAGGCAUAAUAUUGCUGGCGAGAUUGAGGAACUGAAGGCACGAGUUAUCUCGGUGAGAGAUCAAAAGAACAGCUACAAGCUUGACGAUAUUUUUUGCAGUAGCUCUAGCAAUACCAAUGCUUCUGUUGAUCCACGGUUGGCUACUCUCUUCGCGGAAGAGAACCAUCUUGUCGGUAUAGAUGGCCCAAGGGUUGAACUUGUCAAUUGGUUGGAUGCAGAGAGCAGGUUGAUAAAGUGUCGCAAGGUAUUAUCUAUUGUGGGGUUUGGAGGUCUUGGGAAGACAACUCUAGCGAAUGAGGUAUAUCGUAGGGUUAAAGUUCAUUUUGACUGCCAUGCAUUUGUGUCAGUGUCACAAAAGCCCGAUUUCAAGAAUAUCUUCAAGGAUAUAACAUACAAUAUGCCUACGAAAGAUGGUUUCCUCAAAGAUAUUGACACAUGGAAUGAAAAGAAAUUUAUUGAAAAGCUAAGAGAACUACUUGUGGAUAAGAGGUAUCUUGUUAUAAUUGAUGAUGUAUGGUCUAUUUCGGCAUGGAAAGCUAUCACGGUUGCAUUCCCGGAUAAUGACUGUUCCAGUACAAUUAUAGUUACUACACGCGUUUCCGAUGUUGGAUGGUCAUGCUGCUUAAAUGGCAUUGACCGCAAUUAUCAGAUGGAACCUCUAAGUGAAGUUCACUCUGGAAGACUAUUUUGCAAGAGAAUUUUCAGUACAAAUGAGGAUGGCUGCCCAGAUAUUUUACAGGAAGUUUCAACAGAUAUAUUGAAGAAAUGUGGCGGUCUUCCAUUAGCAAUUAUUAGCAUAUCUGGCUUAUUAGCAAAUAGACCAGUUAUCAAGGAAGAGUGGGAGAAAGUGAAAGAAUCGAUUGGUUUUGCAUUGGACAAGAACCAAAAUCUAGAAGGAAUGAAAAUCAUACUGUCCCUUAGCUUUAAUAACCUUCCAAACUAUCUCAAGACUUGUUUGCUAUAUUUGAGCAUAUUUCCAGAGGAUUGUAUUAUUGAAAGAAACAUGGUAGUAUGGCGAUGGAUAGCUGAAGGCUUUAUCUCUGAAGACUGUGGGCAGAAAUUGGAAGAUGUUGCGGAGAGCUACUUUUAUGAGCUCAUCAACAAAAGUCUGGUUCAACCUGUGGACAUUGGUUUUGAUGGUAAGGCUCGUGCAUGCCGUGUCCAUGAUAUAAUGCUUCAAUUUAUCUCCUCAAAAGCAACAGAAGAGAAUUUUGUUACAUUAUUAGGUGGCCAAACUAGAAAAACGAAUUCGCAUCAUUAUGUUCGGCGAUUAUCCAUUCAGGACACUAAUAAUCAUUUGUCAACUCUGUUAGCAAACAAAAAUUUAUGCCAUGUUCGAUCCCUACACUGCUUUGGUGGGAACAUAAUUUUUUUGCCCUAGCUUUCCCGGUUUGAGGUUCUACGAGUAUUGGAUUUUCAUGGCUCUCAAGGUUUAGAGCAGUAUUUGGAAAAUAUAGACAAGCUAUUCCAGCUUGAGUACUUAAGCCUUUGUUGUUCAAACAUAUCACAUAUACCAACACAAAUUGCAAAGCUCCAAAAUUUGGUGACGCUGGACCUUCGCCAAACAUGCGUAGAAGAGUUUCCCACUGAAUUUUGCCGAUUGAUAAAGCUACAACAUCUUCUCGGAGAUCGGAUGUUGAAGCUACCGGAUGGAAUUGGGAAUAUGAGGAAUCUACAGGUGCUAUCAGGCAUUAAUAUAAGCAGUAGCUCAGCGAGCGCAGUGGCAGAACUUGGUGAGCUGACCAGUUUGAGGGACCUCAAAAUAAGUUUGUCUGAUAAACUCAGCAAGUGCAAGACAAAAGAAGAGAUGUUACUCGCCUCACUUUGUAAACUAAGCAGCUACAAACUCCAAUCAUUGCACAUUAUAGAUCACAGUACCGAUGAUUUCUUAGAACGUUGGUUCCCUAUCCCUUGUUUCCUCCGAUUGUUUCACAUGAUCACUGACUACUAUCUCCUGCAACUUCCAAAGUGGGUUAAACCGUAUCUCACCAAAAUGGCAUACCUUAGCAUAAAUUUACGUGAGAUAAAGAAGGAAGAUAUGGAAACACUUGGAGACCUGCCAGCCUUACUCAGUCUAGAAAUAUGGCUGGAACCUGACCCAAAAGAACAGCUUACAGUCCAAAGCACAGGAUUCCUAUUUCUUAAGGAGUUUGUCCUUGCUUGUAGCGAUCACAAUGGUGGAGCAUACCUUACGUUUGAGAAAGGAGCUAUGCCAAAGCUGGAGAAGCUUGAGAUUCUAUUUCACGUUUUAAUGGCAGAACCCCAUGAUUUCUAUUUUGGCAUCAACAACCUCCAACAUCUCAAAGAAGUGGAGGUAUUUAUCUACCGUGUGGGCGCUGAAGAUUCUGAUGCUGAGGCUGCGGUGGCUGCCAUCAGGAGCGAAGCAAAUGCAAAUCCCAACCAUCCUAGACUUGCCAUCAAGGAAGCAUACGUCGAAGAGAUCAGUAACAAAGAGUGUGAUGAUAACAAGGAUGCAGAGGAUCAGCAAGGCGGUGUUACUGUCAACUAAUAUCGUUGCCAGCGGCGAUGUUUCUAGUGACCCAUGAAAGAGGUAUACAGAAUCAUCACUAAAUUGCAAACUAGUCGUGUGGUAGUGGUACUUCUAUUUGUGUACUUUUAUGACCUGUUGCUUUGUUUUGCUCUACAAGAAAUUUGCUCUUCCCAUUUCUCUCGGAUGUUUUCCGUUGCACGUCGUGAAGCCUGAAUUUGGAGUCCACACACUUUUGGGGCUUAUUAAAUUAUGUGUGUUUCACAUUGUUAAUGUAAUGUACUAAUGUUGUAAUCGGCAUUUUGUCUUACUAAAGCAUGAUCCUGCAUGUUGCAGUUCUUUUUAAAAUAAUGGAACAA
Molecule: non-coding RNA, 4026 nt
Organism: Oryza sativa Japonica Group (Japanese rice)
Lineage: Eukaryota; Viridiplantae; Streptophyta; Magnoliopsida; Poales; Poaceae
Source: RefSeq, a predicted model, not a curated record